This 490-nucleotide ribosomal RNA is filed under the name Heterophoma verbasci-densiflori. RNAcentral describes it as "eukaryotic LSU rRNA". The stretch from base 131 to 284 matches the Rfam family "5.8S ribosomal RNA". Lineage: Eukaryota; Fungi; Ascomycota; Dothideomycetes; Pleosporales; Didymellaceae. The record is from RNAcentral.
GGGCUCUGCCUGCCAUCUCUUACCCAUGUCUUUUGAGUACCUUCGUUUCCUCGGCGGGUCCGCCCGCCGGUUGGACAACACUUAAACCCUUUGUAGUUGCAAUCAGCGUCUGAAUAAACUUAAUAGUUACAACUUUCAACAACGGAUCUCUUGGUUCUGGCAUCGAUGAAGAACGCAGCGAAAUGCGAUAAGUAGUGUGAAUUGCAGAAUUCAGUGAAUCAUCGAAUCUUUGAACGCACAUUGCGCCCCUUGGUAUUCCAUGGGGCAUGCCUGUUCGAGCGUCAUUUGUACCUUCAAGCCUUGCUUGGUGUUGGGUGUUUGUCUCGCCUCUGCGCGCAGACUCGCCUCAAAACAAUUGGCAGCCGGCGUAUUGAUUUCGGAGCGCAGUACAUCUCGCGCUUUGCACUCAUAACGACGACGUCCAAAAAGUACAUUUUUACACUCUUGACCUCGGAUCAGGUAGGGAUACCCGCUGAACUUAAGCAUAUCA